RNAcentral lists this ribosomal RNA (253 nucleotides) under uncultured bacterium. Its description in RNAcentral is "partial 16S ribosomal RNA". It matches the Rfam family "Bacterial small subunit ribosomal RNA", at positions 524 to 776 of the family's 1533-position model. The record is from RNAcentral.
UACGUAGGGGGCAAGCGUUGUCCGGAUUUAUUGGGCGUAAAGAGCGUGUAGGCGGCUUUACAGGUCCGUUGUGAAAACUCGAGGCUCAACCUCGAGACGCCGGUGGAAACCGUAAAGCUAGAGUCCGGAAGAGGAGAGUGGAAUUCCAGGUGUAGCGGUGAAAUGCGUAGAUAUCUGGAGGAACACCGGUGGCGAAGGCGGCAUCCUGGACCGGUAUUGACGCUGAGGCGCGAAAGCCAGGGGAGCAAACGGG